Molecule: long non-coding RNA, 1142 nt
Organism: Hipposideros armiger (great roundleaf bat)
Lineage: Eukaryota; Metazoa; Chordata; Mammalia; Chiroptera; Hipposideridae
Exons: 3
Source: RefSeq, a predicted model, not a curated record
AAGUUUGGGGAAAAGAUGAGGCCAGGAAGAAUAUUCUCCAAUGCUUCCUCCCCAUCCUAGCCCCCAGAAAGCAAACAUACUAGAUAACUAUGAUUCUCCAAGCUAGGAAAGAGAAGACAACAUUUGAAGAACAUAGCCUACAAAAGUUAGUCACCACAGAAGGCCCGUCCUGUUCCCCGCCUCUCCUCCAGCCAUGAUAAGGAACAGAAGCCAUAGAACCUCAGAUAAAUAUGGAGACUUAAGAGUAGGAGAAACCCAUGCUCACCUCCUGCCCAUAACUCUGAGAGAGUAGAUUCGCAGAUGGUCCCCACAGCCCUAUGUUACAGGAACCAUAGAGUACAGAAUUAUGCCAAGUUUGGUGCUAGUUUCUCCAAAUAUAUUUUCUGAAAACAACUUUGUAUUAUUAGACUGUUUUUUCUAAGGGAAGAAAUGAGAUUUAAGUAAUAAGUCUAUGAUCACACAGCAAGUACAUAGGAGAGGUGGAAAACAAAUUCAACAAAGCAGCAGAUGGAAAAAAGAAGCUCUUGGUAGUCUUCAGAGUUCUACCUUCAUACAACUUAUGCAAAGGUAAGAAAAAUGAGACCAGCAGAGGUUAAAUGGCUUGUCCAAGGUCAUAAGGGAAAGAACUGAGGCUCAUGAAGGUUAAUAUACUUGCAACAUGGACUCUACACAGAUAUACAGAAUGAUAUAAAUAAACAAGCAAAUAAAGAAAUGGGGAAAAAGCAAACACUCUUUUUGGAUUAUUCCUCUCCCAUCUAAUAAAUGAUGAAGGAUUGAUGAAAUCAGAAAAAAAAAAUCAACUUUUGGCAAGUAUCGCAGUAUUCAUUAAGGGAACAGUCAUCAAUAGAUGAUAACACUAGUAAGUGAAACAUUGAUGGAACUAAGAUAUUUACCUAGACUCAAAAGUUCUGUCCUAUAAGAUAAUUAUUAAUUACAAAUGAAUAUACAAAUCACUUUAUGUUUCUUCUGGCCUCAUGCCAUGAGAAGAACACAAUACCAUCUCUAGAAUAUCCCUGUAAAACAUGCAUAACCUGAAACUAAUCAUAAGAAAACCCAAAGAUGAGAGACAUUCUAAAAUACAUCUGACUUGUUCUCUUCAAAAAUGUCAAUGUCAGGGCCGGCCAAGUGGCUCGUUGGUUAAG